RNAcentral lists this ribosomal RNA (161 nucleotides) under uncultured bacterium. Its description in RNAcentral is "partial 16S rRNA". It matches the Rfam family "Bacterial small subunit ribosomal RNA", at positions 358 to 511 of the family's 1533-position model. The record is from RNAcentral.
GGAAUCUUCCACAAUGGGCGCAAGCCUGAUGGAGCAACACCGCGUGAGUGAAGAAGGGUUUCGGCUCGUAAAGCUCUGUUGUUAAAGAAGAACACGUAUGAGAGUAACUGUUCAUACGUUGACGGUAUUUAACCAGAAAGUCACAGCUAACUACGUGCCAG